GACGAACGCUGGCGGCGUGCUUAACACAUGCAAGUCGAACGGAAAGGCCCUGCUUUUGUGGGGUGCUCGAGUGGCGAACGGGUGAGUAACACGUGAGUAACCUGCCCUUGACUUUGGGAUAACUUCAGGAAACUGGGGCUAAUACCGGAUAGGAGCUCCUGCUGCAUGGUGGGGGUUGGAAAGUUUCGGCGGUUGGGGAUGGACUCGCGGCUUAUCCGCUUGUUGGUGGGGUAGUGGCUUACCAAGGCUUUGACGGGUAGCCGGCCUGAGAGGGUGACCGGCCACAUUGGGACUGAGGAACGGCCCAGACUCCGACGGGAGGCAGCAGGGGGGAAUAUUGCACAAUGGGCGGAAGCCUGAUGCAGCAACGCCGCGUGCGGGAUGACGGCCUUCGGGUUGUAAACCGCUUUCGCCUGUGACGAAGCGUGAGUGACGGUAAUGGGUAAAGAAGCACCGGCUAACUACGUG
RNAcentral lists this ribosomal RNA (468 nucleotides) under uncultured bacterium. Its description in RNAcentral is "partial 16S ribosomal RNA". It matches the Rfam family "Bacterial small subunit ribosomal RNA", at positions 28 to 507 of the family's 1533-position model. The record is from RNAcentral.